Molecule: long non-coding RNA, 8856 nt
Filed under: Zostera marina
Lineage: Eukaryota; Viridiplantae; Streptophyta; Magnoliopsida; Alismatales; Zosteraceae
Description: long non-coding RNA (ZMAR_LNC001128)
Source: RNAcentral
GAAAUAAUCCCUCCCAAAUCAAGAUCUCUCGAUCAGUCGACCCCCAUUCUCAGGCAGUUCAGAGUCGACCUACUUCUAUUUUCAUAUCUGAAAUCGCAAGAAAUAGGGAUCAAACUAUUCUGCAUUUCUAUAAUUUUAUUUGAUUUCUUCUAGAGUUCUUAGUUCUACAUCCAGUUCUUCGAUUCUUCUACAAAGGUAAUAUUAAAUAGGUAAUUACUAUUAUUUGAUUCAUUUCAUUUCAUUUACUUAUUUUUAUAUGAUUACUAAAUAUUACAUUAUAAAUCUAAGUAAUUGAACUAGAUAAUGAUAUUAUUUUCAACGUAUAGCAGACAUCCCAAUGCAAUUCUGCAAAUUUGAAACAUUUGGUUCCGAUUCCAAGUUUGCACUCAACUACUUGGAUUCACAAAGGAUCUUAAGUGUAUUACCAUAUUUGAUUUUCUAUAGAAUUCUUGAUAUCUUCUAACUGCUUGAUGACAUCUUUCAAUAGCAUUCUUUCAUUUGAUGAAUUCAUGGAGCAAUUCAGACCAAUCCUUAUAAUUGAUACCAAGAUAUCAUAGAUUCUUCUUUCUCCCAAUCCAUCUUCUUCUUCUUGUCGUUGCAAUAGAUAUGGAUCUGCUACCUUUAAGAUUCCGUAAGGAAAAUGUGAUACUAUGUAUUCAUGGAGAGUCGUUCCUUCACCGAAAUCUUUGCUAGUCGGACUUUUACAUGUGAAAAUCUCCAGCAAAAGUAUUCCAUAGCUGUAAACAUCCCAUAGCGUGGACAAUCUGCUCCCCAUUCCGCAUUCUGCAUCACAGUUCAUUUAGAAUUGUUUAGCUAUUAAUCUCUAACGGAUUGACUAUAUUUAGCACAGGAUGAUUACCAGGGGCGAUGUAUCCAAUGGAGCCUUGGAUGGCAGUGGUUAACGUUUGAUCUUGAUCCGUCGAGAGGAAUUUUGCUAUUCCAAAGUCACUGACACGAGCGACCAUGUCGACAUCUAGAAGAAUAUUGCUAGGCUUCAGAUCACAAUGCACAAUUGUUGUCUCGGUCUGUGUGUGAAGAUAAUCAAGCGCGGUUGCAACAUCGAUCGCUAUGUUUAGUCUCUGCACCAAACUCAAACCAUCAUCUUGAGGUUCUACUUUCUUGAGCCAUCUGUCUAAGCUUCCAUUUGGCAUAUAUUCGUAAACCAAUGCCUUGAAUUCAUUUUGAUUCAGAUCCUCAGAUGAACAUACCGUUAACACUCUGAGAAGAUUUCGAUGCCGAACAUUUCUUAAAAUUUUGCAUUCGGCCAUGAAACUCUUGGAUAUUGUACGAAAUUUCUCGUCCAAUACCUACAAAUAAUUAGUGAUUUCUAUGAUAUUCAAAUCCAAGUAUUCAAUGAAAUCUAAGAGAUGGAAUAUAAGCUACCUUCACAGCAACAUCUAUCGUGCUUCUUGAUUGAUCAUUUAUAGUCAUUAUUCCUUUGUAAACACUGCCAAAUCCCCCAGAUCCGAUCAAAUUUUCAGGAGAGAACUUUCUAGUAGCCUUUUGGAUCUCAGCAUACGAGAUUUGGAUGAACUGAUUUUCCAUCCACGAGUCUCUAUCGGGUAUAGGUGACAUAUCCGUCCUUGUUCUAUCAUUCCUCAUUGGUGACAUCUUGUACUUAUAAACUAGAAAUACACUGAUGAAGGAUGAAACUGCGACUACAACCACUGUGAUAAUGACGGCGAUGUUUCUUUUAGAUAGUUGUCGAUGAUGUUGAUGAUCUGUGAACAAUUUUUCAUUUCCUUCAAUGGAAAAUAAACUGGCAUUGUUGAAAAUACCUUGGGUCGGCACUUUGCCUUCAAGAUCAUUAUUGGAAAGAUUGACAUACUGAAGCAAAGUCAUCUUCUCCAAGUAGGAAGGAAUCUUACCGGAAAGAUGAUUCUCCGAAAGAUCGAGAAAAUGAAGAACUUUAAGAUUCUGAAGCUGAUCUGGUAUUGUUCCGUUAAAAUUAUUUCCUUGAAGUUCGAGUGAUUCAAGCAUCACACAAUUUUCGAUACUCUUUGGAAUUUCACCAUGGAAUCUAUUGUGAGAUGCAUCAAAUCUCAUAACAUUUCUUAAGCUUUCAAACUCAUCUGGAAGAACUCCGAUGAGAUUAUUGUGUGAAAUACGAAGAAAUUUUGCAAUUGUCGGUAUCCUGAAGAGACCUUUGGGUACAACUCCACUUAGAUUAUUGUUUGAAAGAUCCAAGGCUAAUAAUUUUUUCAUGGCGCCUAAAUUUGAAGGUAUGGUUCCUGAUAGCUCAUUCCCACCCAUGUAGAGUUCGAGCAGCUCGGUAAGAUUUUCGAAGGAAUCUGGGAUUGUUCCAGAGAGCUUGUUUUUGGCAAUAGCAAAAAUUUUUAGAUUCUUAAGUUUUCCUAUGCUCUCUGGAAUGGAUCCAGUGAAUUGAUUAAUCUCCAUGUUCAAUGUGGCUAGACUACUCAGCUGUCCUAUCAUUGCUGGAAUUUCUCCCUUGAUAUUGUUAUUCCCCAGAGUCAACGACUCCAACGACAUUGCCGAUAGCUUCGUUAUUGAUUCCGGUAGGAACCCAGUGAAAUUGUUAUUCCACAGAUCAACACUUUUCAGGUAAGAGCAGUUGGUUAAAGAAUCGAUAAAUCUCCAAUCAUCAGUUGAAAAUAGAUUGCUGUCCAAAAGCAACUUAGAGAGAUUAGGAAGACGACUUCCAAGAUUUGAUGGAAUUGAACCAGUGAACAUAUUGCCGCUGAGCUCUAUAUCCUCCAAUUUUGACAUAUAAGAUAGAGAUAUUGGAAUUUCUCCGUUGAACUUGUUGAGGUAUAAUAAAAGAUGACGAAGUUGAGGAAGGUUCUGCCCGAAAUCAGGAGGAAGUGUUCCAGUGAGAUGAUUACCUCCGACACCAAACAUGUAAAGAGACGAGAAGUUGAAAAGAGAUAGAGGAAUUUGACCAGAUAAACGAUUAGAAAGAAGAUCGAGAAUUUCUAGAUUGGUGCAGUAACUUAUCUGGGAUGGAAUGUGGCCAACCAGGUUGUUUUGUGAGAGGUAAAGUUUGCGAAGAGUGGUAAUGUUGCCGAUGGAUGGUGGAAUUUCUCCGGUGAGGUUGGUUGUUUCUAAAUCCAAGUAUUUCAGAUUUUGGAGCGAGCCCAAUUCUGAUGGGAUGCUGCUGGUUAAGUUAUUGUUCCAAAGAAUCAGCGACUGCAAUUUGGUUCCCCCAGUGAAGUUUCUGGGAAUCUCACCAUGGAUCUUGUUGUGACUAAGUGUAAGGAGUUGGAGUUCCGGCAAGUUCGUAAAGAGAGCCUCAGGGAUUGUUCCUUGGAGGAAAUUUGAGGUGAGAUUUAUGGUUCUGAGACGACGUAGGUUGGCAAUCUCCGAGGGAAUAUGACCGUGUAGAUUGUUGUGUCCAAGGUUUAUCUCACGAAGGAAUGAGAGGUUGGAGAUACAAGGUGAGAUUUUACCGGUGAGGCCGAAUGAUGGCAGCACUAAAGAUGUCACCCGGUUCGGAUGGAGAGGAGCAUCACAGUUGACGCCGAACCAGUGGCAGGUUUCAGUGGAUUCGUUCCAUGAAGUGAAGAUGUAAGCUUUGUCUUUGGCAGUGGUGAUGUAGGAUUUGAAUGAAAGAAGCCCAGCACGGUCGACACCAUUUGUUUUUCCUGUCACAAUAUCUCCUAGGAUUAUAAGAAGCUGAAUAGAUAAUAAGAACCUCAUUCGUUCGAGCUUGCAGUGAGUGAUUUGGAGAGUAAGUUUGUAUUUCCGAUGUGUGAUGGACAUGUUUUUAAACUAGAUUCCCUUCAGAACUUCAGGAUUCAACAUUUUGAAAAAUAUUGAUGUACUACAUCCGUGAUGUGAUGUGAUGUGGUGUUAGUGGUGAUGCACUAAAAAAUCACAAGUGGUGACGUGGAAAAGAGGAUAACUUAGUCAACAAAGAAACAAGUGUUUCGUCCGUGAGUAUCAUUGUCGGUUACACAUUGCUUUGUUAAAUUCCAACAAUAGCACCACUUACGCGUUAUGAGUUAAAAUCUACAACACAAUAGAACUCAUACGUUAGUCGUUACAGACUUACUGUAGUUAAAUAAGCAAAAAGUAAUUAAAAUAAAAUGUUAAAAAAUAUGAGUUAGAAAUUAGAAUGUACGUAUGGAAUUAUGAAUGUAUGAUUAGAUAAGUUUACACGAUUCGAUUAGUCCAAUCGGUCAUAUACUCACACAAGUCGGUCAAAAGUCGGUCAAUUAAUUCUCUGUUUUUUAUUAGUAUAAAGAAGUAUUUAAUAACUAAUAGUCUAGUUAUGGUGAAAAUUAGGAUUUUAAGGUGAACAAAAUUGGAAAUGAAAAUUACAUUUAGUUGAAUUGGUUUGGAACUUUAGAUUAAUAUCUUAUUAAUUACAAUUUGGAAAAUUACAUUACACGUUUUCUUCAAUUUCGACAUUGUCUUAUUAAUAUCUCUUUAUUAAUAUAGCAUUCCUGAUAUCUUCUAACUGCUUGAUGGCAUCUUUCAAUAGCAUUCUUUCAUUUUGUGAAUCCAUGGAGCAAUUCAGACCAACCCUUAUAAUUGAUACCAAGAUAUCGUAGAUUCUUCUUUUUCCCAAUCCAUCUUCUUCUUCUUGUCGUUGCAAUAGAUAUGGAUCUGCUACCUUUAAGAUUCCGUAAGGAAAAUGUUUCUCUACGUAUUGAUGGAGAGUCGUUCCUUCACCGAAAUCUUUGCUAGUCGGACUUUUACAUGUGAAAAUCUCUAACACAAGUAUUCCGUAGCUGUAAACAUCCCAUAGCGUGGACAAUCUUCUACCCAUUCCGCAUUCUGCAUCACAGUUCAUUUAGAAUUGUUUAGCGAUUAAUCUCUGCCGGAUUGACUAUAUUUAGCACAGGAUGAUUACCCGGGGCGAUGUAUCCAAUGGAGCCUUGGAUGGCAGUGGUUAACGUUUGAUCUUGAUCCGUCGAGAGGAAUUUUGCUAUUCCAAAGUCACUGACACGAGCAACCAUGUCGACAUCUAGAAGAAUAUUGCUAGGCUUCAGAUCACAAUGCACAAUUGUUGUCUCGGUCUGUGUGUGAAGAUAAUCAAGCACGGUUGCAACAUCAAUCGCUAUGUUUAGUCUCUGCACCAAACUCAACCCAUCAUCUUGAGGUUCUUCCUCUUUCUUGAGCCAUCUGUCUAAGCUUCCAUUUGGCAUAUAUUCGUAAACCAAUGCCUUGAAUUCAUUUUGAUUUGGAUCCUCAGAUGAACAUACCGUUAACACUCUGAGAAGAUUUCGAUGGCGGACAUUUCUUAAAAUUUUGCAUUCGGCCAUGAAACUCUUGGAUAUUGUACGAAAUUUUUCGUCCAAUACCUGCGUAUAUACAUACAUAUGAUGAAUUAGCGAUCGUUUAUUGUCAUUAUAAAAUCCAAUAUAUACUCUGGAUUAAAUAUAGCAUAUGAAAUUUGAGCCACCUUCACAGCGAUAUCUAUUAUGUUUUUUGGUUGAACAUUUACCAUCAGUGUUCCUUUGUAAACUCUCCCAAAUCCCCCAGUUCCAAUCAUAUUUUCCUUGGAGAAAUCACCAGUAGCCUUUUGGAUCUCAGCAUACGAGAUUUGGAUGAAUUGGUUUUCCCUCCAUGAAUCUUUAUUUGGUUGAGAUAUCAUGUUGAUACUUGUUUUCUCUUUUCUCUUCGCCGAUACAAUGAACUUGUAUAACAUAAACACACCGAUGGUGCACAAAAUUGUUAUAAUAAUGACAACAGCAAUGACGAUCUUGUUUCGCUUGGAUAAUUUUCGAUGUUGUUGUUGUUGAUGAUGAUCAUCUGUGAAUAGUUUUUGGUUUCCUUUGAUGGAAAAUGAAUCAUUAUUCCUAAAAAUGCCUUGUGUCAGUACUUUACCUUCAAGAUGAUUGUAAGAAAGAUUGAGAUGCUGAAGCAAAAUCAUCUUCUCGAAAUAUAAAGGAAUCGAACCCGAAAGAUGAUUCUCAGAAAGAUCUAGAAUGCGAAGACCUUUGAGAUUUUGAAGCCCUUCGGGUAUUGGUCCGUUGAACUCAUUUCCUUGAAGCAUGAGUGAUUCUAGAAUCGUACAACUUCCAAUGCUCUCCGGAAUUCUAGCAUGGAAUUUGUUGUGUGAUGCAUCAAAUCUAAUAAGAUUCCUUAAGUUUUGAACCUCAUCGGGCAGAACACCGUUGAGAUUGUUGUGUGAAAUCUGGAAAUAUUUAGCAAAGGUUGAUAUCCUAAAGAGACCCUUGGGCACAAUUCCAGUCAGAUUGUUGUAAGAGAGAUCCAAAGCAAUCAAUUUAUUCAUGGUGGCAAAGUUUGAAGGUAUGGUUCCGUUGAGCUCAUUCCCUCCCAGCAAGAGCUCGAUCAUUUCAGUAAGAUUUCCAAAUGAAUUUGGGAUUGUACCGGAGAGCAUGUUACCGGCUAAAUUCAUAUAUCCCAGAUUCCUAAGAUUUCCUAUACUCUCAGGAAUGGAUCCUGUGAAGUUAUUAUUCUCCAUGCCUAGUGUGCUCAGACUACUCAAAUCUCCCAUCCUCAUAGGAAUCUCUCCCAUGAUCUUGUUGUUCCCCAUAGCCAACCAUUUCAAUGUUUUAGCUGAGAGCUUCGUUAUCGAUUCCGGCAGGAAUCCAGUGAAUUUGUUGUUAAACAAAUCGAGCCGUUUUAAACGGGAACAGUUGACUAAGGAAUCAACGAAUCUCCAAUCAUCAGUUGAAAAUAAAUUGUUGUCGAGAAGCAACUUGGAGAGAUUAGGAAGACUGCUGCCAAGGUUUGAAGGGAUUGAACCAGUGAGACCAUUGUGGCUGAGCUCUAAUUUCUCCAAUUUUGGCAUGUCAGAUAGAGACAUUGGAAUCCGACCGCUAAAUCUGUUGUUGUAUAAUAAAAGAAAACGAAGUUGAGGAAGAUUCUGCCCUAAAUCAGGGGGGAGUGUUCCAGUGAGAAGAUUAGAUCCAACACCAAAUCCGUAAAGAGAUGAGAAGUUGAAAAGAGAUGGUGGGAUUUGACCAGAUAAACGAUUGAACACCAGGUCAAGGAAUUUAAGUUUGAUGCAGUAGCUGAUCUGAAAUGGAAUACCGCCGACCAAGUUGUUUUUUGAGAGGAAGAUGCUUCGAAGAGUAGUAAUGUUGCCGAUGGAUGGUGGGAUUUCUCCGGUGAGAUUGUUCGUUCCAAAAUCCAAGACUUCCAGAGUAUGGAGUGAGCUUAAAUCCAAUGGGAUGCCACCGACAAGUUUAUUAUCCCAUAAAGUUAGUGUCUGCAAUUUGAUCCCUCCCGUGAAGUUUCGAGGAAUCUCACCGUGAAGUUGGUUGUGACUGAGUGUAAUGUGUUGAAGUUCCUUAAGGUCCGUGAAGAGAGCCUCAGGGAUCUCCCCUUGAAGGGAGUUUGAAGUGAGGUUGAGAUUCUUUAGGCGAUGGAGAUUGGCAAUCUCUGAAGGAAUACCACCAUGGAGAUUGUUGUACCCUAGAUUUAUCUUAUGGAGAAAUGAGAGGUUGAAGAGAUAAGGUGAGAUUGUGCCGGUGAGGUCGGAGGAUGGUAAAACCAACGCCGUCACCCGAUCCGGAUGGAGAGGAGCAUCGCAGCUGACGCCGAACCAGUUGCAGAUUCCAACGGAGUCAUUCCAUGAUGUGAAAAUGUAAGGCUCGUCUUUAGCAGUGGUGAUGUAGGAUUUGAAUGAGAGAAGACCGGCACGGUCGAUGCUAGAGAUGGCCUCGCCGGUCGUGAAGCUUCUUACUAGUAGCAGAAGAAGCUGAACUGAAAGUAAGAACGUCGCUGACAUGAUUUGAGGUUUAAACAUUUGGUACGUUCUUCUUUAGAACACUACUAAUAAGAAAAUGACAUGUUGACUAUUUGAUAGACGUGUGAAGUUGGUUGUCUCCAAGAUUCAACAUUUGAUGGACGUAUAUUUUCAAAAUGUUGACUUCUUUUUGUCUUUUUUGGUAGUUUGGUCAAAAAUAUGACUAUUUUAAUUAUUUAUUUAGAUUCCUUUUUGACCAGAAAAUUCAUGUCAUAUAUUACCCUUAAUGGCUUAAUUAGUAAUUACACUUCUUCAGUUCUCUCAUUUAAAUAUAGGAUUAUUAUUACUUAUAUCCCUAAAUAAUAAUAUAAUAUAGCUAGGGGAGUAAGGUUUACUGUGGAUAGGGUAAUACACUAAUACCUGACCUGAACUUAUGGCAUUGUAUGAGUGAGAUUUUAGAUUUUUCUACUCAAGCAGUUUUUAUCGGACCUGAACUCUAUUUUACCCGAUCAAAUCGGUUAUGACAGAUAGGGUAUGUACAAAACUUUUUACCCACUUGAUUUACUCGACGAGGGUUAUUUGUAAAUAAAUCCUUAUAUUAUAUUUUAAUACUAGAAAAGUUAUAAAAAUAUUAAUAAAUAAUAUACAUAAAAUUAAAUAUUUAAAACUUAAACCUUAAAAUUAUAAAAAACUCACAAUUAAAAUAAAUUUAUAAUACAUGUAUUUAUUAUAACACCUUAUAGUUUUCUUAGAACACAUUGAUUUUAUUUAUUCACACACAUCGAUGAGAUAUAAAAAGUGUAAUUAAUGUUAACUUAUAAAUAAAGAUUCAAUUUAUUAAAAAUAUGAGGUAUUGAUUGUGAAAGGAGUUUAUAUUAAAAAUAUUAUGAUUGUUUUCAUGAACCAAUUUUAAAAAAUUUGACCACAAGUAAUAUAACCACAAAAAUUAUAAUAGGUGAUAUAAUAUGUGGUUUUGGUGUACACUCGGAAGUAGGUUUUUAUGUUAUAAAAAAACUACUGCUAAUACAUAGUCAGAGGUUCUAUUAUUCGUUUUAAAUAUUUGUAUUUCAUACAAAGUUCUUACAUAUUCCAUCCUUGAUAUCAUUCAAUUUCUUGACGACAUCUUUCAUUAGCAUUCUUUCAUUUGGCGAAUCCAUAGAGCAAUCGAGCCCAAUCCUCAUAAUUGAUGCCAAGGUAUCAUAGAUUCCUCUUUCUCUCAAUCCACUCUGUUG